UGGGAUAAAACAAGUGAGGUUUGAUAGUGCUGUUAACUCCUCUCCCAGCUCACCACGAAAACCUCAGUGCUGAUACGCUCCUGCCGAGGAAUUAAAGCAACUUUAAGGAAUUAAAAGGAGCUGCAAAUCCAUGCUGGAAGAUUUGCUCCCAGGGGGAUGUGUCUGCUUGGAAAAAUAAAACCAACCCAGCUGGAGUUUUCAAAGGUGUGCCCAAAGAAAAAUCAACAUUUCAAGUGCCUGAUUGCCUUCGGCACCUUGGAGAGCCCAACACAAAGGACAUCUUCACUCUGUGAGAGGUUUUAAUGUGAAGUCUGGAGGAUUUGGGCACUCUGGAUGUUCACCUGGAAUUGAGCAGUGCAGGAUUAGACCAGGGCUGGACACGAGCCCAGGGGUGCCCAGGUGGGCAAGAGGCCCCUGGCCCCUGGGCUGGGUGAGGAAUUGUGUGUCCAGCAGGAGCAGGGCAGGGAUUGUCCCUCUGUGCUGGCUCUGAGAGGCCCCUCCAGGGCUGGCUCCAGUUGUGGCUGGUGCAGGAGAGCCCNUGGGACAGGGGUACAAGGUAAGUAAGGAGUUUACAAACAGUAAUUGUAACAUCUUAUUCUUAACACCACCCAUGCUUUGGGUGCCUCCUGCUCUGACUUGUGCCACACAGUGAUCCCAAAAUCCACAGGAUCCCACAAAACAUGGCUUUGUUAUCCAUCUGUCAAACAGCCCUGCUCACAGAGGUGAAAAGCAAGAAGGUUUUCAGAGGAGAAGUAGAGCUCCCCUGGGGAUAAUUCUUUGGGUAAUUCCUUGGGCAGUGGAAUCAUCUGCCCAGGGAGGUGCUGGAGUCACUGUCCCUGGAUGUGUUCACGAGAAGCCUGGAUGUGGCACUCAGUGCUGUGCUUUGGUUGAUGAGGAGGUGCUGGGUUAGGUCACAGGUUGGACUUGAUGAUCUCAAAGGUCUUUUCCAACCUAUUUCACUCUGAUUCUGUGAAUUCCAUCUCUGCUGGAGCCAGGGUUUGGAGAU
Molecule: long non-coding RNA, 1006 nt
Filed under: Parus major (Great Tit)
Lineage: Eukaryota; Metazoa; Chordata; Aves; Passeriformes; Paridae
Description: lncRNA (ENSPMJG00000009416.1)
Source: RNAcentral